This is a long non-coding RNA of Polypterus senegalus (gray bichir), 1402 nucleotides long. RefSeq lists it as uncharacterized. The record is from RefSeq and is a predicted model, not a curated record. The transcript is spliced from 4 exons. Lineage: Eukaryota; Metazoa; Chordata; Cladistia; Polypteriformes; Polypteridae.
GUCUCAAGAGUGUGUAGUGUCAACAGCUCCACACAGCUUCCUCUGGGGCCACGGAAUGAAGCAGCUGUAUUACAAAUAAGCAGUAAGCUUAUAUUCCACACUCAGGCUGCCACAAAUGCUUCUGCCCAACAGCCACCCUGAGUCACUACCUGCAGUCCAAUGGAGAGGUGUAAACACAGGCUGUGUCUGUGAUAUUGCCGACAUGAAGAUCAGACCGACUUGUGCAAAUUCACUUUGGCAGGAUAAGCAAGACAGCUGACCUGACAAGCAUCCAGACACUAAUGCUGCUCAAUCUGUGGCUGAUCAUGCCGAACAAGCUUCAAUAACAAAGGUUUUUUUCCACAAAUCCAACAGUCUUUCAGCUACCUGUCAUGAUCCGGACUUUGUUUUGUAUUGUAUUAGCCUUUUCCUUGGCCUUGAAAAAUAAUGGAGAUAUCAUUCUGGGUUAUAGAGGCCAAAAUGCAUUGCAUCUCCAUUGGCAUUCAGGUUAUGCUAUUAAUUUCCUCAAAAGCCUGUUGGUGUUGGGAUCCUGUUUGUAUCUUCUGUUAAGAAUUGAUUUUGUGAUUCAUUUUUUUCAACAAUUUUCAGGCCUUUAUUGCAAAUGUAUGUGUGUGAUUACAUUUUUAUGGGGUCACUGAAUCCAUUUCUGAAAUUUAUUUUUAGUUAGGAACUUGUUUAACAUCUUUUUUAUCUCAUUUGUUUCUCAUGGGCACCACCAUUUCUUGCCACCAUUUUUAGUCAGAUCCAUACCAAGGCCUUCUCAAGAAAUUAGCCUAAAAACAGCAUGGACUCUUUAUGAACUCAUCAGUGUGAGUGACAAAUAGUGUUUUGUUUCUGCAUCUCUUAAGAACUUCUCAAACAUGACAGACACAAUUCUCAUAACUAUUAGAAAGACAAUAGAGACUAAAACACAUUAAUACUGAGCAAAUCUCUAAAAGUGUCUUUCACAAAAUUUGGAAGACUGCUAGAACAUUAGCCAAUCCAUACAGAAUUAUUUUAUAUUCAUAGUGCCCUAAGGAGGUUUUAAAAAUGGUCUUCCAUUCAUUGUCUUCUCUUGUACAAAUACGAUUAUAUGCACUUUAUAUGUCUUAUUUCACAAAAAAAUGUAGACCCAAACAAAGAAGAGAUUUGGGGAAGUGAAUAAUUAUCCUUCUCUACUAUUUAUUUACAGUAUAUACUCGCGGAUAAGGUUUCCCGCGGAUUAGUCGGGGCUUGAUUUAACUGUAUAAUUUCUGAUAUUUUAUAAUGUUGGUCAUAUAAGUCAAAUGUGGAAAAAUCGCGGUAUUGGUCCAAAAGAUUAUGAUAUGCUAACACCCACCUGAGGGAGUAACCACAGAGUACGCUGCCUGUUUUUUUUCUAUGUAUUGUGCCUACAUGACCACAUGCUAAUAUCCAAACUAUU